GGGUACUGAACAAAUAGCUCUGUUGUUAAAGUUAUUUCAACAUAUUCAAUAAAUACGACAUGCAAUAAUGUCACAGUUGACUUCCUUGUCUUCAUGAAUUUUAAAUUGAAUUUCCUUGAUAUUUUCGGUCUGUGUUCCCGAAUCUGUGGUUGUUGGUACAACCUGUACAUCCUAUCACGAGUUUCUAGUGUGGUCGAAACCUGAGAUCCUGAGG
RNAcentral lists this long non-coding RNA (214 nucleotides) under Mytilus galloprovincialis (Mediterranean mussel). Lineage: Eukaryota; Metazoa; Mollusca; Bivalvia; Mytilida; Mytilidae. The record is from RNAcentral.